This is a non-coding RNA of Podarcis lilfordi (Lilford's wall lizard), 71 nucleotides long. The record is from the annotation of a GenBank genome assembly. Lineage: Eukaryota; Metazoa; Chordata; Lepidosauria; Squamata; Lacertidae.
GGAACAUUGCUGAGUGGUAAAUCACUUGCUUUGCAUGCCAGAGGUCCCAGGUUCAGCCCCUGACAUCUCCA